UGAGAUGGGCAUUAAAAUCAGUAUGCUACAUAGAAAACAAAAAUAUUCAAUUUUUUAAAGAUUCUUCACUGGAGAAGACUAGACUUCAGCCUACAGCGUCCUCAAGAAACAGCAAUGUGGGCAUCCAAAUUCUCAUCAAAGAAACACAGAGAAAGAAACUAAAGAUGAUGUAUGAAAUACUUGGUGACCUCUGAAGAUGGAUGAGGCUAUCUGAAGGACAGGAUGACUUACCAUAGUGAUCCAGCUUUGCAGGACCAGUCAGUACCUCUACUUGGUAGGAAUAGCUGAGAUCUAAAGAUUAGUAGCAUCUUCUCACUUCAGCCACGCAAGCCAGUGUCAGUUUCAAACGUUAUUUGAAAUUGCUACAUCAGCAAUAAAUUGUGUUGUUGAGACUGAAUGUAAAAACUA
Molecule: long non-coding RNA, 408 nt
Filed under: Phasianus colchicus (ring-necked pheasant)
Lineage: Eukaryota; Metazoa; Chordata; Aves; Galliformes; Phasianidae
Description: lncRNA (ENSPCLG00000007862.1)
Source: RNAcentral